This is a long non-coding RNA of Humulus lupulus (European hop), 6532 nucleotides long. RefSeq lists it as uncharacterized. The transcript has 2 exons. The record is from RefSeq and is a predicted model, not a curated record. NCBI's taxonomy places the organism in Eukaryota, Viridiplantae, Streptophyta, Magnoliopsida, Rosales, Cannabaceae.
UUGUUCCUCUCUUAAAGUUUGGCAUGGACACCUGACAAGUCACUCCCGAGAGUGAGACUGAGGAAUCACCAUAAGCUUGCUCAAUUAAGUUGUCUCCACUAAUAUAAAAUCUAUAUCAAGUAGUUCAAAAAGACUUUGCUAAACUUAUAACUUUAGACUUAAGCAAAGGUAGAUAAAUAGUCAUUUAGGCUUACAAAUACCAUAAGCAUAUAAACCAACAAACCAACCAAUUUGUUUUCAAUCCAUCACACCAAAAAUCAUUAUUUUUACACAUUUAGAAAGAGAGAUUAUAGCACAUUCAUCAUUUUUUUUCGAAGUUAUCAUUUUUCUCAAAUCACACUUCCCCAAACUUAAUUUUUUUCAUAUAUUUUUGAAUUAUUUCAGGAGUGUGAUAAUCAUAAGCAUAAUAUUUCUUUUUCCAAAGAAUUCAUAAAUUUCUCUGUCUCUCUUUCUUUUGUACAAUCAUACUGCAUCCAAAUCACACCAAAACUUCACCAUUUUCCAUUCUCUUUUCCCACAAUUUAUAUGCUCAUGAUAUUCAUAGGAAAAUGAAAAAUAACAAAGUUAGGAAAUUUUAGGCUCAACAUAGUAUAAUUAAAAACGAAAGCCAAAUUUUUAGGCUAAAAAUGGUAACUAAGGAUAAAAUUUUCAUUGGUUAGUUUGAAAGGCUCAAACGUUCCAAAGAAUGCCUAAAUCAUCUCUACUUAAAACUUCAUUCAGAAUUUCGUCUUAACAAAUUAACUGAGCAAGUUUUAGCUUAUUUCAAUAUCCACCAAACAUACAAAAUCCUACAAUACUUGUAAACUCAUAUCAUGUAAAACAAAAAUGAAAUGAAACACAUAUAAUACAAUAAAUGACAAUAUUCAUAUCAAUUAUCAAUUAUCAAGCACAUAGCCUACAUAUCCAAAGCAUCACUGCAACAACAUCAAAGAGUUAACAUAUUUCAUCAUCGAAGCCCCACCUGUCUUAGUGAAUAUUAUUUUAGUACAGUCAUCCAAUAGUCGAAAAUUAAAAACUAAAUUAAACCCCAGAAAAGCAAAGAAAAAGAAAAAAAAAAAUUAAACGAAAAGCAAAAGAAAGAAUAUAAAAGAAAAUAAGCUUUCCCCCAAACUAAAAAUAAACAGUGUCCCUAGUGUUUCAUUAUAACCCAAGGAAAGAAAGAAAACAUCAUAAACUUGACAACAGAAACUUUAUUCAUCAUCCUCUUCAUCUUCUUCAUCUUGGGGCAGUUGAUAUGGCUGACGUAAUUCUACGGGGCAUUGUGGAAAUUCAUUAAAUCCCGUGUAUCGUGCAAAUGUCCCACAGAAAUUUGCCAUGUAGUUUGUCAUGUGGGACUGACGGUCUCUAAUAUCAGCCUGACCAUGCAUUAACAGCUGUUGUUGCCUCUUUAGUUCUUCAAUGUCUUGCUGCAUGCUGCUAUACUGCCUUAAACUUGAGCCUUCAGUAGCUCUAGAUGAAGAUGAUUUUUUACCUUUUCUUUUCGGCCUCGAAGAACCAGGUUGUGUAUCUGUGGGUGGCAAUUGCAAAAGGCUCGGGUUUGCAGGCUCAUAUCCCAAGCCAGUUGGCCUAGGAACACCACCAUUGUUUUCAUCUUGAUGCAAUACUGACUGGUGAUUGAUUAUAGCGAAUUGUUCACAGACUUCAUUUAUGUUCAUUGGCACCCCUUGAUCCUUGCAUAAACUUGUGAUCAAAGAACCAUGGCCAUGGCCACCAGAUGUGGUAUCUCGAGCAAAAUAGCUAAUACUCUCGUUGAUAAGCCUACCCACAUUUAUGGACUUCCCCGAGCAUAUACAAUGUAACAGGUAUAAUCUUUCGACUGUCACCUCCAUCUGUUGAGUUGAAGGCAUAAGAAUGCUGAUUACGAAUCUGUUCCAAAGCCUCCCAUAUGGACUCAAACAUGUAGCCUUGAUAGAGCGCGGAGUUACAUUGUCACUACCCAUUUUGUAUUCUAACCAUGGUCUAGUUAUUUCUUUUAAAAUCAGAUCAUAAUCAUUCUCAUUCAUACCCGCUCGUUAAUCAUCAUCUCAAGGAUCAUUCAGGCCAUAGAACCUGUUUAUAAUUUCUGGAGAAUAACAAACCUUUUUACGUCGAACCAAGAUAGUAUGAUUUGUGUGAUCCACGUAAGCAUUGGCAUAGAAUUCCCUUACCAAGCUUAUGUUUGCCAUGCGCUUAGGCUCACACAAUUGCUGCCAAUUUAUGUUAAUAAUCAUUUGCUUGAGGAUUUCAUCCGUCUCACUUGGCGAAAAUGAGACUCCACAAUCACAAUUUUAUUCUUCACAAUCCUUUCCUCAAACUUAUUAUGAGCAGUUGGGUUAACAAAAGUAUGAGGAAUGUUCACAUUUGCUCUUUGGACGGUGGACGUAGUUUUAGCUUUCUUAGGUGCUAUUGUUCUUCUUCAAUCACAAUAACAAAUACCAAAGUAGCUUAACGCACUCACAACCCCCAAAUCAACUCAAAAACCCACAAAAAUUCUCAAAAAUCUUCAAAAUCUUUCACUCGGGACUUUUAUCGAACACUUGAUACGCAAUCUUCAAAAAUUCUCCCAACACACUCAAAUGACCCCCAUAUUUUCCCCAAACUUGCAGAAUAAUCUCACAAUAGAAUAAUAAUAAAAGCCACACACCAAUCUCCCAUUUUUUCUUCAUUUCCUCCAUUUCUUCAUCAAAUCACCACCAUAACGCAUCAAGGUUCGGAUUUUGUGGUGAUUUCAAGAAAUUGUUCAUCAUUCUCAAGAAUUUCAAGGUACAUUGUGUUUUGAAGUUUUUGUUAAAUUUUUGAGGAAAUUUGAAGAAAUAAGGUUUUUUGUUUGUAUAAUUAAAUGAUUUUGAGAUUUGUUGUUAGAUUGGUGUGUGACUUUUGUUAUAAUACUAUUGUGAGAUUAUUCUGCAAGUUUGGGGGAAAUAUGGAGUCAUUUGAGUGUGUUGGGGGAAUUUUUGAAGAUUGCAUAUCAAGUGUUCGAUAAAAGUCUCGAGUGAAAGAUUUUGAAGAUUUUUGUGCGUUUUUGAGUUGAUUUGGGGGUUGUGAGUGUAUUAAGCUACUUUGGUAUUUGUUAUUGUGAUUGAAGAAGACUAAUGACACUUAAAAAAGCUAAAACUACGUCCACUGUCCAAAGAGCAAAUGUGAACAUUCCUCAUACUUUUGUUAACCCAACUGCUCAGAAUAAGUUUGAGGAAUGGAUUGUGAAGAAUAAAAUUGUGAUUGUAGUGUCUCAUUUUUGCCAAGUGAGAUGGAUGGAAUCCUCCUGCAGAUGAUUAUUAACAGCAAUUGUGUGAGCCUAAGCGCAUGACAAACAUAAGCUUGAUAAGAGAAUUCUAUUCCAAUGCUUACGUGGAUCACGAGAAUCAUCCUAUCGUAGUUCGAGGUAGUGACAAUGUAACUCAGUGCUCUAUCAAGGCUACAUGUUUAAAUCCAUAUGGGAGGCUUUGGAACAGGUUCAUAUGCUCAGGGAAGUCCAUAAAUGUGGGUAGGCUUAUCAAAGAGAGUGAUAGCUUUAUAGCUCGAGGGAUCACAUUUGAUGGCCAUGGUUCUUUGAUCACAAGAUUAUGCAAGGAUCAAGGGGUGCCAAUGAACAUAAUGAAGUCUGUGAACAAUCCGCUAUAAUCAGUAUUGCAUCAAGAUGAAAACAAUAGUGGUGUUCCUAGGCUAACUGGCUUGGGAUAUGAGCCUGCAGACCCGAGCCUUUUGCAAUUGACGCCUACAGAUGCACAACCUGGUUCUUCGAGGCCAAAAAGAAAAGGUAGAAAACCAUCUAUAUCUAGAGCUACUGAAGUCUCAAGUUCAAGGCAGUAUAGCAACAUGUAGCAAGACAUUGAAGAAUUAAAAAAGCAACAACAGCUGUUAAUGCAGGGCCAAGCUGAAAUUAGAGACCGCCAGUUUCACAUAACAAACUACAUGAUAGAUUUCUGUGGGGCAUUUGCGUGAUACACAUGAUUUAAUGACUUUCCACAAAGCCCUGCAGAAUUAUGCCACAAUAUCAACCACCCCAAGAUGAUGAAUAAAGUUUCUGUUGUCAGGUUUAUGAUGUUUUAUUUCUUUCCUUUGGGUUAUAAAGUAACAGUGGGGACACUGAUUAUUUUUAGUUUGGGGGAAAGCUUAGGGUCUGAUUGGUUUAUUAGAAAAUUGUAUUUUCAAAAAGUGUGAUUCUGAAAUGAAAAUCUGGAUUUAGUGACUGAAAAUAUAUUUAUGAAAAUGUGAUUGGUUCACUAUCUGUAAACUGGUUUUGAGUUUUAAAAAAUUGAAUAUGUGAUUGGUAGAAUAUUCGAAAAUAAAAUAGAAAUAGAAUACGUGAUUAGUAGAACUAAAUCUAAAAAUUAUUUUAUUUUAAUUAUUUUUUUAACAAAUGUUGUAUGAUAUUAAAAUUUCAUUUACCAAUAAAUUAUGUAAUAAUAGUUCAUAUAUUUUUUCUAAUUAACUAAACUCCAAAUUCUUUGCAUCCAUUUAAUCUUUAUAUACUUUGAAGAAGCACAAUGUUAAUAAUAUCAAGAACUUGGAUUAAGACAAGGUCUUAAUGAAUUCGAAACUGAAGUGAGGUUAAUAAUAAAACUUCAAAAAAGUCGGUCUGAAAUAACUUAUCAAAUAUUAACACAAAAAUUUCAGUUAAAAAAUACCGUUGUUUUCAUUAUUUUCUCAAAUCAAAUCAAACCAGUUAAAAUUUACAAUUAAUAUUAGCAAACAGACACAAAAACCAUGAGACAAAGAAAAACCAAAAAAAUCUUUGACCCACCAAAGCAGAGAUUUCCUUCCUUCUGCCUGAGGUUAUUAACUAUCUUUCCUUGUGUAAUGCACAGAGUCUGCAUGCUUUCCAAGCUCCUCAGAAGAGUUGGAAGACUUCAUCAUCUUCUAUUGAAAUUUAAAAUUUAAAUAUGCAAACAACAAAGAUAUAACUUGCCAAAAAAUACUUGCUUAUUAAGUUUCAUAAACAUCCUCCUAAGUCAUUCAAUUUUCUCUCUGCAUAAAUGUAUCAAUGUUACAAAAAUUAAGCUAUACAUAGUAUAGUUGACGCGGUUUUUUGCUAACGGUGAAUUAAGAAAAUAACAUGGUUGAAUUAGUACUUGAUGAGAAAUCGAAAUAAGAAAAUAAUUCUCAAAAACACUGGUCUUUUUACGUGGUUCAAUAGUUAAAAUCCACCUAGUCCACGAGUCUUCUCUCUAUUUUGGCAGAGUUUCGUUAUUACAGAAUAAUCGUCCAUUUUCUUGUCCAAUAUUCUUAGUAUUUAUAGAGAAAUUCUUUGGACAGAUUUGGGUAACUGCGUGAGUCAAUCAUGAAUUUACAUAUUUAUUACAUUUAAUAUGAAAUAUUCCCAUUUACACUAGGAUACGAUUUGAUUAUGAAAUAAACGGUCUUCUAAUAUUUGGGACAUUAAAUAUCACAAGCUGGCUAUUAAUAAUCGUAUAAAGUAUGCGGGUCUUCAGGGAUCCACGGAUACGCCAUAUCUCCAAGUUACCACGAGCUGGAUAUACCGUCGAGCUCGUAUUGUGGAGGCCAUGCCUUAUAAACAUAAUAAGGUCGCGCUUAUCAAUUUAUGCAUCCCUAGCUCAUACAAUCGUCAUGAAAACCGUACUGUCUACGUAGAAAAUACAUGGACUCCUUGGCUAUUUCUUCCAUGCAUUUAUUUGCUAGCUGUGUACGAGUUGAAUGAAAGACUAUUAGGGUACACAAGUACACUGCAAUAAAAACUUUCAAUUUAUGAUUCAAACAAAUGAGUCAUAUAUAAAACAUGAGAAUUAUUUAUAGCCCAAGAAAAACUCUUGCCGAGAAGAGCAUAAUAAUAGAGUAAAACAAAUUAUAAAUUGCACAGUGGGAGAUAAAAAAUUUCUUGAACUAACUAAACAUUUAUCAAGUUAAUAUAAUAUGCUUCCCAAUUAAGUUAAUAUAAUACUUGUUAGAUAGAGAUCACAUCUCUCUCAACAUGUGUAAAAUUGUUAGAAUAUUAAAUAUAUAUCUUUACUCACACGCGGAGAACAAAUCAAUCUAAUACAUCUGCUAUUGGAUAAGGCUUCAACCAAAGUGACCCCAUUAAUAUCUAACACAUAAAACCUUAUAAAAAAAAAGCUACUGGCGGCACACCAAAGAAGCUAGGAUAUGAAAUAUAUCCUAAAAAUUACCAAAAAAUCUAAGAAAUUAUAUGGGGUUAUCAAAAGACAUCUCAUCAGAACAUUAAACACCCAUUUCGUAUAUAUAUUCGACUGGUAUUCACGAAAAAUAAAAAGGAGAUUUACCAUUAGAGUGACUAGGGAUUGAGGACUUGUGAGUGAUGGUGAACAAUCUUGAGUAUACAACUGGGUCUGUGUGAUGAUGAACAAGAAUGAAGAAGAAAAAGCAAAUGAUGAAGAAGAUGUGAAGGGGCAGCCAAUUGAGAUAAGGGGAAACAAGUGAGGAAGAGUUGAAAUAUGUUUUUUUUUUUGGGUUUUGGAUAAAUGAAUUGAAUGCUAAGAAAAUGUGGAAUAAUCGUUUUCAUUUUUUCAGGCUAAAAUUCAAUUUUGUAUUUGAACACAAUUUUUUAAAAUAGUUAACCAAUCGGUUAUUCGUGUGA